CCCACUCCUUCUCACACCAUUGGCAGACAUCAUUAGUUGAUCACUGCACUCUUUCUCCAUUGAGCGCCACCAUUCUUCCCAACACAGUCUAUACAAAGCACUCCUAAUCCUGGCUCUGUGCUCUGAAUGAAGAAUUAGGAGACAAGGCAUGUACAGGUCUCUUGCAGGGAGGGGCAAUCUAUUGUGGGAUGGUCUGGAUAUGACCCUUUGGAAAUCCUGCUUUUAAUGAACUGAUGAGGAAAGACCCUGGGAAUUGAGCUACAGAGAGAUUAAGCUACUUGCUCAAGGUGACAACAGACACUCACGGGGCAGCAGUGAAGGAGCUGUGUUUACAUGACACUUAAUAUCCAGGAAGGCAUUUCAUAUAUGGGGGUGCCCAUAUCCAAGUAAUCCAACCCCAUGGACUUGGACCAGUGGUGAGCUCAAGAUGAUCUCCACCAUUUGCUUGGCUGUCACCACCUCUGCAACCUGCGGGAAUCGGCUGAUGGCUCCAGAGAAUGACUCCAGCCUUUCAAAUAGAAAAAUGUGGUGUGUUACAUGUUACCCAGGCAGUAGAAGAGAAAGGGGACCUUUAAGAAAAUGUUUUGGAAGGAAAACUAGGGCAGCUUUGAAAUUAUUUUCAUAGUCUUUAAACUCAAAAAAUAAAUCACCAGGGCUAAUAGUUAUAGACAGCAGAACAGGCAGCCAUACUAAGCUCUGUACUUCCUUGAUUCUAACACCUGUUGGGGGGCAUCUCGUGGGCCCAUACUCCAUAAGGCCCUUAAUAUGUAUUGUCUGAAUUAAUCUUCAUGACCAUCUAUCAUCCUCUGGCGUGAGCCCGCAACAUGACCUUGAGCCAGCAUUGAUAUCUCUGGGCCUGGUCCUCUUCUAAUGCCAGGACCAAACUACAAAACACUGACACCAUAGAAUCUUGGUGAAGAAGGAUAUGGAAGAUCAUCUCAUCAACCUCCUUAUUUUACUUAAGGUAAUAGAGACUGAGAAAAUUUAGCCGAUUUUCCCAACGUGGUACUGUGGCAAA
Neofelis nebulosa (Clouded leopard) is the source of this 1018-nucleotide long non-coding RNA. RefSeq lists it as uncharacterized. The transcript is spliced from 5 exons. NCBI's taxonomy places the organism in Eukaryota, Metazoa, Chordata, Mammalia, Carnivora, Felidae. The record is from RefSeq and is a predicted model, not a curated record.